RNAcentral lists this ribosomal RNA (254 nucleotides) under uncultured bacterium. RNAcentral describes it as "partial 16S ribosomal RNA". It matches the Rfam family "Bacterial small subunit ribosomal RNA", at positions 524 to 776 of the family's 1533-position model. The record is from RNAcentral.
UACAGAGGUGGCAAGCGUUGUUCGGAAUUACUGGGCGUAAAGAGCUCGUAGGCGGUCUGUCGCGUCGGUCGUGAAAACUUGGGGCUUAACCCUGAGCUUGCGGUCGAUACGGGCAUGACUGGAGUUCGGCAGGGGAGACUGGAAUUCCUGGUGUAGCGGUGAAAUGCGUAGAUAUCGGGAGGAAUACCGAUGGCGAAGGCAGGUCUCUGGGCUAUAACUGACGCUCAUGCACGAAAGCGUGGGGAGCAAACAGG